UUGGAAAAGGACAGCUGAGAGGGUGAGACUCCCGUCCGCCUGGUGGAGUGAGUCAUUUGUCAACGAGUCGAGUUGUUUGGGAUUGCAGCUCUAAUUUGGUGGUAAAUUCCAUCUAAAGCUAAAUAUUGGUGGGAGACCGAUAGCGUACAAGUACCGUGAGGGAAAGAUGCAAAGAACUUUGAAAAGAGAGUUAAAGAGUACCUGAAACUGCUGAAACGGAAGCGAAGGAAACCAGUGUUUGUUGGUUCAUAUUUCCCCGGCCACUUGUGGCUUGGGCGCUGUGAGCUUUCGUGAGUUUGGGUUGGUUGAUCCCUUUGGAAGAGCGCAGUCAGAGUUGAUGUCUGUUGCUA
This 350-nucleotide ribosomal RNA is filed under the name Pseudo-nitzschia multistriata. Its description in RNAcentral is "LSU rRNA". It matches the Rfam family "Eukaryotic large subunit ribosomal RNA", at positions 190 to 551 of the family's 3401-position model. Lineage: Eukaryota; Bacillariophyta; Bacillariophyceae; Bacillariales; Bacillariaceae. The record is from RNAcentral.